UGGGGAAUAUUGGACAAUGGGCGCAAGCCUGAUCCAGCAAUGCCGCGUGUGUGAAGAAGGUCUUCGGAUUGUAAAGCACUUUCGGCGGGGACGAUGAUGACGGUACCCGCAGAAGAAGCCCCGGCUAACUUCGUGCCAGCAGCCGCGGUAAUACGAAGGGGGCUAGCGUUGCUCGGAAUGACUGGGCGUAAAGGGCGCGUAGGCGGUUUGUUGAGUUGGGCGUGAAAUUCCUGGGCUUAACCUGGGGGCUGCGUUCAAUACCAACAGGCUUGAGUGCGGAAGAGGGUCGUGGAAUUCCCAGUGUAGAGGUGAAAUUCGUAGAUAUUGGGAAGAACACCGGUGGCGAAGGCGGCGACCUGGUCCGUGACUGACGCUGAGGCGCGAAAGCGUGGGGAGCAAA
Molecule: ribosomal RNA, 400 nt
Filed under: uncultured bacterium
Lineage: Bacteria
Description: bacterial SSU rRNA
Rfam family: Bacterial small subunit ribosomal RNA
Source: RNAcentral